GCCAGGUAGCACUAGCAGAGUCAUAAACUGAAAACAGAACUUGGACACGACAACAAAAUUUAUUAUAUCGGUGGUAUCAUUUUUCCUUCCUUUUCAUCCAACAAAUUUACCUUUUAAAGUACAUUUUGCCGAAAUUCCAACCAUGAAAAUUCCUCUCGAAGAACUUUGCAUACAAGUUUCUCUUUCGAACAUCAUUUUUUGCAAAUUUUGUAGUUGAUUCUUUCAUUUCUGUGUAGUUUGCGGCGAACCCAUUUAAAGCUUAUUCGUGUUCUUGUUCCUCUUGUGAAUUGAACCAUUUGAAGCUUCUCACUUUGUUCGGGUUCGCCGAUUUUUAACCGCUAUUUUUUGGUUUUUCUUUAAUUACUAUGUAAGUGUUUUUUCUUUUUUUAUUGAAUAUCUCUUGUUCUGUUACUGAAGUAUUAUAAUACUGCCCACCUCAAUUUCCUGUUUUUUGUUUGUUGCAAUUCUUGUGAAUGAAUUUGAUUCUGGUUCGCCGCUGGUACUGAAACGAGAAAGAGCCGCCUCAAUAAGAAACCUAGAAAACUUCAAUUUUUUCUCUCUGGUGAGUGCAACUCUCCACUCGAGGUAUUUUGUUUCAAAUGAACGUUAAGCCUUUGAAUUUGACUUUAUUUUCAGGAAAUUAUACUGUGCUGGGUGUAAUUUAUCUUGUAAAUUUCUCAAGAGCUUAUCGACAUUAAUUACUCUAC
Molecule: long non-coding RNA, 707 nt
Filed under: Olea europaea subsp. europaea
Lineage: Eukaryota; Viridiplantae; Streptophyta; Magnoliopsida; Lamiales; Oleaceae
Source: RNAcentral